AUUAGAAACAAUAAAGUGCAAUACUUAACCCUUAGAGGGACAUUAAUAGAACAUGAGCAUCAAAUCAUUUUAGACGAACUUUAGAAGACAUCGGUACCACGAACCUAUUGGAAUCUAGUUAUAAACUUCGCAAAGUUUAUAUUCUCUUAUGGAGCAAGGAAAAUUGCAAGACAAAGUAUAGGUUCACGAAAGUUAAUUGGGAAGCAAAAUGUGUUUGACAAACCAUGGAUGGAUAAAGUAGUUGUUAGGAAAUUACCAAGAGAACUUGUAUAUUCAAUACCCGUUAUAAAGAUUG
Molecule: long non-coding RNA, 295 nt
Filed under: Gossypium barbadense (sea-island cotton)
Lineage: Eukaryota; Viridiplantae; Streptophyta; Magnoliopsida; Malvales; Malvaceae
Description: long non-coding RNA (GBAR_LNC009473)
Source: RNAcentral